AGAUCCGGUGAUCUGGCUGUGUCAUCUGUCAUCCCACUGAUCACCAGGAUUGAUUCUGCUGAUCUGGCUGGCUAGGUGAGUGUCCCUUUCCUGCCUCACUGCUCCAUGUCCAUCCCCCACCCCCCAAAGCUGCUCGCUUGGUUGAAGAGGCUGACCAUCCCCCAUAGAGGAGGACCGUUCUCCUGCCAAGGUUAUGUGAAUAGCUGUGCUCCCCUGCUAGAACCCCUAAACAAGCUCUUGUUGUUUUCUUUAAAGUAACAUUUAGAUUCACUGCUGGACUAAAGGG
RNAcentral lists this small nuclear RNA (286 nucleotides) under Castor canadensis (American beaver). RNAcentral describes it as "7SK RNA (ENSCCNG00000007461.1)". It matches the Rfam family "7SK RNA", at positions 1 to 259 of the family's 331-position model. Rfam says of the family: 7SK was discovered as an abundant small nuclear RNA in the mid-70s but a possible function has only recently been suggested. Two independent studies have found that 7SK RNA binds the CDK9/cyclin T complex (known as elongation factor P-TEFb). The record is from RNAcentral. Lineage: Eukaryota; Metazoa; Chordata; Mammalia; Rodentia; Castoridae.